AAAAAGAAUUGAAAAUCGAUCUUCACUUUAUAUAAAGAAGUUAAUUACUAUCCCAUUUAAGAAAAUUUUCAUAUAUCUAUCAUUCCCCUAUAGUCAGAGUAUUUGGAGGACGAAUGCUUAUGCCAAACCGGAAAAAUAAAAAAAAAACAUAGGUAAAGAUUGAUCUUUGGUAAAGAUAUCCGCAUAUUUGUAUGCGGACAAAACAUAAAAAACUCGCAUUUGACCAAGAGCAACCUUC
RNAcentral lists this long non-coding RNA (238 nucleotides) under Capsella rubella. RNAcentral describes it as "long non-coding RNA (CRUB_LNC005091)". Lineage: Eukaryota; Viridiplantae; Streptophyta; Magnoliopsida; Brassicales; Brassicaceae. The record is from RNAcentral.